UACAGAGGGGGCAAGCGUUAUUCGGAAUUAUUGGGCGUAAAGGGCGCGUAGGCGGCUUGGCAAGUGGAAGGUGAAAUCCCUCGGCUUAACCGAGGAACUGCCCUCCAAACUGCUUCGCUUGAGACCGGGGAGAGGUGAGUGGAAUUCCCAGUGUAGCGGUGAAAAUGCGUAGAUAUUGGGAGGAACACCAGUGGCGAAGGCGGCUCACUGGACCGGUACUGACGCUGAUGCGCGAAAGCGUGGGGAGCAAACGGG
RNAcentral lists this ribosomal RNA (255 nucleotides) under uncultured bacterium. Its description in RNAcentral is "partial 16S ribosomal RNA". It matches the Rfam family "Bacterial small subunit ribosomal RNA", at positions 524 to 776 of the family's 1533-position model. The record is from RNAcentral.